AUAACUGUGGUAAUUCUAGAGCUNAUAUUUNACANNUGCCGUGACUCACGAAGCGGNGGAUUUAUUAGAUCAAAAUCAACCUGUCGAAAGGCGGUNUUUUGAUGACUCUGGAUAACUUUACUGAUCGUACGACCUUAGUGUUGACGACAUAUCUCUUGAAGUGGCUGCCCUAUCAACUUUCGAUGGUAAGAUCAAAGCUUACCAUGGUUGUAACGGGUAACGGGGAAUCAGUGUUCGAUUCCGGAGAGGGAGCCUGAGAAACGGCUACCACAUCCACGGAAGGCAGCAGGCGCGCAAAUUACCCAAUNCCGGUUCGGUGAGGUAGUGACAAAAAAUAACAAUAUGGGCCCUAGUGGUUUCAUAAUUGCAAUGAGAACAUNUUAAAUACUUU
This 391-nucleotide ribosomal RNA is filed under the name Girardia tigrina. Its description in RNAcentral is "partial 18S ribosomal RNA". It matches the Rfam family "Eukaryotic small subunit ribosomal RNA", at positions 143 to 535 of the family's 1831-position model. The record is from RNAcentral. Lineage: Eukaryota; Metazoa; Platyhelminthes; Tricladida; Dugesiidae.